Pelobates cultripes (western spadefoot toad) is the source of this 390-nucleotide non-coding RNA. NCBI's taxonomy places the organism in Eukaryota, Metazoa, Chordata, Amphibia, Anura, Pelobatidae. The record is from the annotation of a GenBank genome assembly.
CUCUUACCUGUCAUUUCUGUUCUGUCCAAUUGCAACCCAAAACUUCUGACACCAAUUUGUUGGGGAUAAAAUCAGCCCAGGCCCUUUAUGGAUGAUGGAUAUUUGCCAACUCAUUCAGAGCUCUGGAAAUUGGAAAUUAAUAGCAGAGACGUGUUCAAUAACCAAUUAAAAUUUUAUUAUACGUCAGUUAUGUUUAUACCCCAUUUUCAUGUUGGUAGGGGCCAUGAGCAUUAAUGACAUAGAUUGUUUUUCACAAGUUAUGAGCAGCUGUUUCUAGUUAUAUCCUACGUUAUAUAACGCGUGCAUAUUUGAUAAAAACCAAAUAUUUACAAAUACCAAAAUCUUGGACAAUUAACAAGAAAAUUUUGAAAUCUGUACUUUUCCCGUAAC